Long non-coding RNA from Malaya genurostris, 1072 nucleotides. RefSeq lists it as uncharacterized. NCBI's taxonomy places the organism in Eukaryota, Metazoa, Arthropoda, Insecta, Diptera, Culicidae. The transcript has 3 exons. The record is from RefSeq and is a predicted model, not a curated record.
UCGUGGAUCAACGACAUUCGAAUGGUUGGUUGCAAAACAAGACAACAAGCGCGGAAAACUGCAAAACAAACUGUUGCCUCAUGAUGCCGUUCGGUCGUUCUUUCGGUCGCCGAAGCACAGCUCCGUUGAGGUUGACAAGGAACAGAUCAAAUUAAAACUGAUCAAUCCGUGGGUGGAAAUUUAGGCAACCGACGACGAGUGCGGGAAGUGCCCGAAGAUUUCGAACACGAAAGUGAGGCGGAAGAAAAACAAACUGAGUAUAUGAAGACGACAGAUCCACGGGUGAGUAAUUGGAGCUUCUGGGGAGUUGAACGAACACGACAUAUGACAACUGUCAAAUGUCGACACGAUUCAGCGAUUUCAGUUGCUCCGUUACGCGAAGCGAAAACCAGCUUGUUGUUUAAAAAGUUGCAGUGUGUCCAACACCCGAUUGUUUUGGAUUCUUCACGUUGCUGGUGUUAUCUAUUUGUUUUCGCAGGUAGCCGUAAAUAUUUAAAAUACUGGGUUUUCUUAAAUUUUUGGAAUCAACGAGCGUCAAUGAGCAAAACUCAUCUCGCUUGCUCUCUUUUCUCGCACUCGGACAUCAUAUCAGUUCUGCUGUUAAAUUGGAUGAGACCUGUUGGCAAUUGUUAUCAUCGACCUCAACAACAACAUCAAAGCCGAAUAUUCAUGGUUCGAAGGUCAUGUUGUGCAUCUGGUGGAACCAAAAGGGUGUUAUGUACUAUGGGUUGCUACAACCAGGCGAUACCAGAACGGACGAUCUGUAUAGGCUGUAAUUGAUGCGUUUGAGCCAUGCAUUACGAGAAAAACGGCCGGAAUAAAGCAAUGACAUGAUCAAGUUAUUCUCCAGCAUGGCAACGCUUGGCAUCAUGUCGCAAUAGUUGUAAAAAAAAAUUUAAAAACGCUCAAGUGGAACAUCUAGCCGCACCCAUCGAACUCUUCUGAUAUUGCUCCUUCUGAUUACCUUUUCAGAAAUCUAAAAUUGACUACAAACUUGGAUCACCUCAGAGGACGAGACAUUUUUUUUUAAACGGAAUUCGAAAAUUGUCUGAGGAGAAAGUAGUAGCUAAUU